CUGCCUGAUGGAGGGCAUGAUAACUACUGGAAACGGGUAGCUAAUACCGGGCAUAAGUCGCAAGACCAAAGACGGGGACCUUCGGGCCUCUUGCCAUCAGAUGUGCCGUCAGAUGGCUGAUUUAGCUCCAGUAGGUGGGGUUCACCUAGGCGACGGUCCCUAGUGGUCUGAGAGGAUGACCAGCCACUCCUGGAACUGAGACACGGUCCAGACUCCUACGGGAGGCAGCAGUGGAAUAUUGCACAAUGGGCGCAAGCCUAUGCAGCCAUGCCGCGUGUAUAAAGAAGGCCUUCGGGACUUGUAAAGUACUUUCAGCGGGGAGGAAGGUGUUGUGGUUAAUAACCGCAGCAAUUGAUUACCCGCAGAAGAAGCACCGGCGAUUAACUCCGUGCCAACAGCCGCGGUAAUACGGAGGGUGCGGGCGUUWACGGAAUUACUGGUCGUAAAGCGCACGCAGGCGGUCUGUCAAGUCGGAUGUGAAAUCCCCGGGCUCAACCUGGGGAACUGCAUUCGAAACUGGCAGGCUGGAGUCUUGUAGAGGGGGGUAGAAUUCCACGUGUAGCGGUUAAAUGCGUAUAGAUCUGGAGGAAUACCGGUGGCGAAGGCGGCCCCCUGGACAAAGACUGACGCUCAGGUGCGAAAGCGUGGGGAGCAAACAUGAUUAGAUACCCUGGUAGUCCACGCCGUAAACGAUGUCGAUUUGGAGGUUGUGCCCUUGAGGCGUGGCUUCCGGAGCUAACGCGUUAAAUCCACCCCCUGGGGAGUACGGCCACAAGGUUAAAACUCAAAUGAAUUUACGGGGGCCCCGCACAAGCUGUGGGGCAUGUUGGAUUACUUCCAUUCAACCCAAGGAACCUUUACUGGUCUUGACAUCCACAGAAUUUUCCAGAGAUGGAUUGGUGCCUUCGGGAACUGUGAGACAGGUGCUGCAUGGCUGUCGUCAGCUCGUGUUGUGAAAUGUUGGGUUAAGUCCCGCAACGAGCGCAACCCUUAUCCUUUGUUGCCAGCGGUCCGGCCGGGAACUCAAAGGCCAGUGAUAAACUGGAGGAAUGGUGGGGAUGACGUCAAGUCAUCAUGGCCCUUACGACCAGGGCUACACACGUGCUACAAGUGGCGCAUACAAGAGAAGCGACCUCGCGAGAGCAAGCGGACCUCAUAAAGUGCGUCGUAGUCCGGAUU
This 1179-nucleotide ribosomal RNA is filed under the name Enterobacter sp. RNAcentral describes it as "bacterial SSU rRNA". It matches the Rfam family "Bacterial small subunit ribosomal RNA", at positions 126 to 1299 of the family's 1533-position model. Lineage: Bacteria; Pseudomonadati; Pseudomonadota; Gammaproteobacteria; Enterobacterales; Enterobacteriaceae. The record is from RNAcentral.